UGCUCUUUGAAACUAAUAAAGAGUCUAGCCUGCCCAGUGGAUUUUUAAUCUAAACGGCCGCAGAAUCUUAACUGUGCUAAGGUAGCAUAAUAAUUUGUCUUUUAAUUGGAGACUAGUAUGAACGGCUUAACGAAUUUUUACUGUCUAAAGUAUACUAAAUAAAAUUUAAUCUUAAAGUAAAAAAGCUUUAAUAUAAUAAAAAGACAAAAAGACCCUAUAGAGCUUUAUUUUUAAUAUUUUAUAAUUUAAAUUCAUAAAAUUUGGUUGGGGCAACCUAGAAAGAUUAAAUUUUUCUAUUAAUAAAAAUAAUUAAUAUCAUUUUAUAAAUAAAACAAAACAAGUUACCUUAGGGAUAACAGCAUAAAUUUCUUUGAGAGUUCAAAUCGAAAAGAAAAAUUAUGACCUCGAUGUUGGAUUAGAAAACCUUAAAAUAGAAACAUAUUUUAAUAGGAAGUCUGUUCGACUUUUAAUCUUCUACA
This 479-nucleotide ribosomal RNA is filed under the name Epimenia australis. RNAcentral's name for it is "partial 16S ribosomal RNA". It matches the Rfam family "Bacterial large subunit ribosomal RNA", at positions 1817 to 2600 of the family's 2925-position model. RNAcentral also lists the same sequence under 1 other name. Lineage: Eukaryota; Metazoa; Mollusca; Solenogastres; Cavibelonia; Epimeniidae. The record is from RNAcentral.